This 639-nucleotide ribosomal RNA is filed under the name uncultured Akkermansia sp. Its description in RNAcentral is "bacterial SSU rRNA". It matches the Rfam family "Bacterial small subunit ribosomal RNA", at positions 20 to 681 of the family's 1533-position model. Lineage: Bacteria; Pseudomonadati; Verrucomicrobiota; Verrucomicrobiia; Verrucomicrobiales; Akkermansiaceae. The record is from RNAcentral.
GAAUUCACUAGUGAUUUGGCGGCGUGGUUAAGACAUGCAAGUCGAACGAGAGAAUUGCUAGCUUGCUAAUAAUUCUCUAGUGGCGCACGGGUGAGUAACACGUGAGUAACCUGCCCCCGAGAGCGGGAUAGCCCUGGGAAACUGGGAUUAAUACCGCAUAGUAUCGAAAGAUUAAAGCAGCAAUGCGCUUGGGGAUGGGCUCGCGGCCUAUUAGUUAGUUGGUGAGGUAACGGCUCACCAAGGCGAUGACGGGUAGCCGGUCUGAGAGGAUGUCCGGCCACACUGGAACUGAGACACGGUCCAGACACCUACGGGUGGCAGCAGUCGAGAGUCAUUCACAAUGGGGGAAACCCUGAUGGUGCGACGCCGCGUGGGGGAAUGAAGGUCUUCGGAUUGUAAACCCCUGUCAUGUGGGAGCAAAUUAAAAAGAUAGUACCACAAGAGGAAGAGACGGCUAACUCUGUGCCAGCAGCCGCGGUAAUACAGAGGUCUCAAGCGUUGUUCGGAAUCACUGGGCGUAAAGCGUGCGUAGGCUGUUUCGUAAGUCGUGUGUGAAAGGCGCGGGCUCAACCCGCGGACGGCACAUGAUACUGCGAGACUAGAGUAAUGGAGGGGGAACCGGAAUUCACGGUGUAGCAA